RNAcentral lists this unclassified non-coding RNA (329 nucleotides) under soil metagenome. Its description in RNAcentral is "partial contains 5.8S ribosomal RNA, internal transcribed spacer 2, and large subunit ribosomal RNA". The stretch from base 1 to 120 matches the Rfam family "5.8S ribosomal RNA", at positions 35 to 154 of the family's 154-position model. The record is from RNAcentral.
GAUGAAGAACGUAGCGAAAUGCGAUAAGUAAUGUGAAUUGCAGAAUUCAGUGAAUCAUCGAAUCUUUGAACGCACAUUGCGCCCGUUGGUAUUCCGAGGGGCAUGCCUGUUCGAGCGUCAUUAUAACCCCUCAAGCUCAGCUUGGUGUUGGGGCCUGCUGCACUGGCAGCCCUUAAAAUCAGUGGCGGCGCCAUCUGGCUCUAAGCGUAGUAAUUCUUCUCGCUAUGGAGUCCUGGUGGAUGCUUGCCAUCAACCCCCAAUUUUUCUAUGGUUGACCUCGGAUCAGGUAGGGAUACCCGCUGAACUUAAGCAUAUCAAUAAGCGGAGGA